This 180-nucleotide ribosomal RNA is filed under the name uncultured bacterium. Its description in RNAcentral is "partial 16S ribosomal RNA". It matches the Rfam family "Bacterial small subunit ribosomal RNA", at positions 327 to 524 of the family's 1533-position model. The record is from RNAcentral.
UCGCCCUUACUCCUACGGGAGGCAGCAGUGGAGAAUCUUGCACAAUGGGGGAAACCCUGAUGCAGCAACGCCGCGUGAGUGAUGACGGCCUUCGGGUUGUAAAGCUCUGUCUUCAGGGACGAUAAUGACGGUACCUGAGGAGGAAGCCACGGCUAACUACGUGCCAGCAGCCGCGGUAAU